This 72-nucleotide transfer RNA is filed under the name Clostridium sp. HMP27. It matches the Rfam family "tRNA". From Rfam's summary of the family: Transfer RNA (tRNA) molecules are approximately 80 nucleotides in length. Their secondary structure includes four short double-helical elements and three loops (D, anti-codon, and T loops). The record is from Rfam by way of RNAcentral. Lineage: Bacteria; Bacillati; Bacillota; Clostridia; Eubacteriales; Clostridiaceae. RNAcentral also lists the same sequence under 1 other name.
GGCGCUAUAGCCAAGUGGUAAGGCAGAGGUCUGCAAAACCUCUAUUCCCCAGUUCAAAUCUGGGUGGCGCCU